UACGGAGGGGGCGAGCGUUAUUCGGAAUUAUUGGGCGUAAAGGGCGCGUAGGCGGCUUGACAAGUCAAAGGUGAAAUCCCUCGGCUCAACUGAGGAACUGCCUUUGAAACUGUCUGGCUUGAGGCCGGGAGGGGGUAGCGGAAUUCCCAGUGUAGCGGUGAAAUGCGUAGAUACUGGGAGGAACACCAGUGGCGAAGGCGGCUACCUGGACCGGUUCUGACGCUGAUGCGCGAAAGCGUGGGUAGCAAACAGG
Molecule: ribosomal RNA, 253 nt
Filed under: uncultured bacterium
Lineage: Bacteria
Description: partial 16S ribosomal RNA
Rfam family: Bacterial small subunit ribosomal RNA
Source: RNAcentral